GCUUCCGUAGCUCAGUUGGUAGAGCACUGGCCUCUUAAGCCGGGUGUCGUUGGUUCGAGUCCAACCGGAAGCA
This 73-nucleotide transfer RNA is filed under the name Streptomyces finlayi. It matches the Rfam family "tRNA". From Rfam's summary of the family: Transfer RNA (tRNA) molecules are approximately 80 nucleotides in length. Their secondary structure includes four short double-helical elements and three loops (D, anti-codon, and T loops). Further hydrogen bonds mediate the characteristic L-shaped molecular structure. tRNAs have two regions of fundamental functional importance: the anti-codon, which is responsible for specific mRNA codon recognition, and the 3' end, to which the tRNAs corresponding amino acid is attached (by aminoacyl-tRNA synthetases). tRNAs cope with the degeneracy of the genetic code in two manners: having more than one tRNA (with a specific anti-codon) for a particular amino acid; and 'wobble' base-pairing, i.e. permitting non-standard base-pairing at the 3rd anti-codon position. Lineage: Bacteria; Bacillati; Actinomycetota; Actinomycetes; Kitasatosporales; Streptomycetaceae. The record is from Rfam by way of RNAcentral.